RNAcentral lists this RNase P RNA (381 nucleotides) under Klebsiella aerogenes. RNAcentral's name for it is "RNase P RNA component class A". It matches the Rfam family "Bacterial RNase P class A". Rfam says of the family: Ribonuclease P (RNase P) is a ubiquitous endoribonuclease, found in archaea, bacteria and eukarya as well as chloroplasts and mitochondria. The record is from RNAcentral. Lineage: Bacteria; Pseudomonadati; Pseudomonadota; Gammaproteobacteria; Enterobacterales; Enterobacteriaceae.
GAAGCUGACCAGACAGUCGCCGCUUCGUCGUCGUCCUCUUAGGGGGAGACGGGCGGAGGGGAGGAAAGUCCGGGCUCCAUAGGGCAAGGUGCCAGGUAACGCCUGGGGGGUGUCACAGCCCACGACCAGUGCAACAGAGAGCAAACCGCCGAUGGCCCGCUCAAGCGGGAUCAGGUAAGGGUGAAAGGGUGCGGUAAGAGCGCACCGCGCGGCUGGUAACAGUCCGCGGCACGGUAAACUCCACCCGGAGCAAGGCCAAAUAGGGGUUCAUAAGGUACGGCCCGUACUGAACCCGGGUAGGCUGCUUGAGCCAGUGAGCGAUUGCUGGCCUAGAUGAAUGACUGUCCACGACAGAACCCGGCUUAUCGGUCAGUUUCACCU